CUGGUUUUAGACAGAAGGUCCACAUAGGUGCCAAACAGCAUUUUUACCAAGAACCCUUAUCUUCCUCUUACUCCUUUUUUUUUUUGGUACCGGGGAUCGAACUAGGGUCCUUGCGCUUGCGCAGCAGGCAGCAAAACCACUGAGCUAAAUCCCCGGCCCCUCCUCCUUCUCCUCUUACUACCUGCAUGUGACCGUGUUACAGCCCCUCUCACCCUCAAACCCUUCCCAAAUCCCACACCCCCAGGAGCAUAGAAAAAAUCUUACAAAGGAAUUAUUUACUGUAGGGCCACAUGAUUACAGAUGCUCAGUAUCAUCAUGGGAGCUUUAGGUAGGGAAAACUUGGGAAAUGAAUGCCUGAAUAAGGGUAUAAAAGAGACAAAGAAAGAGAGGUGUUUCUUUUCUAAAUUUGUGCUCUUCUUAAAAAAUAUACAUUACAUUCUCAUAAAGGAAAAUACAGCCGCAUUUAAAGGAUUUCCUUUCACCAAAUUGUCUCCGGUCCCUUAAUUGUAUUUAAGCCUGGCUGAGUACUUUGUUUACGGUCCCUAGUGCCGGUUGCGUCUCCCUCUGGCUUGCUGGGCUGGCAGUGGUCUCAGUCUCAUUCUGGCGGAGAAAGGUAAGGAUCUUUUCCUUGCUCUUUGAAAGAUCUGGGAGAGAAAUGCAGAAUGCAGACGGGGAUUGGGAGCGGGGAGGACUGAUAUCAUGUAUGCAUCUGAGGCUCUCAGAAAAGUUCGGCAAACUUAAAGGAGACUCCUCAAAGCUCCGUGCUUUAAGAAAAAGAGCCUGCGAAUUUUCCCCUCCCUGCUGGAAGGAUAGGUUUUGGCAGAAAAUAGGCUGGUUGUGUUUUGGGUGAAAUGUUGCUCUUGGGGACAGCAGGUGGCCCUGCAGGGAUCCCAGAACGGGUUUAAUCCUCACAGGAAAGGGGUGCAAGAAGAAUAAACAUUCCCAAGCAUUAGGCAGUGAUCGCCCGGAGUCCUCUCUGAAUUUCCAUUUGAAGAUGUAAAGUUUCUUAAAGCUGUGUGUGACAGUGGUUACCAUGAAAGGAGAUCCCUGUCUGACCUGUCAUUUUCCUGACCACAUUGCUAUGACAGGCUCGCUCUUUCUCAGAAGUUAAAGGAAGACCCGCAGCUGUGGCUGAUUCUUCCCCUCCUCCGAGCCCAGUGGUUUCCCUGGUAAUGGACAACCUCCUUCCAAGCUUCAUCUAGCUUUUUUUGCUCAAAUGCCAAGGGAAUGCAACCGAUUUGAAAAAAGUGAAGUUGAUUUGCACAUGCAUUGAUCCAUCAGGAAGGGAAGUGCUUCUCCUUCCUUCCACAGGCAGGGCUCAUGCUGAUUCAGUGAGGUGAUACUAUUUCCUGUCUUCUCCACAGCUUCUACCCUGGGGAGACUCUGGAGCUCUAGUCUGUAAACCUAGCUAGGAAGAACCGCUGUAAAAAUGACUGAAGAGCCUGUAAAAGAGAGCCCGGAGUCCCAAAGUCUCCCACGCCAGCGCCGAUGGAGAAAAACCCCAAGAGCGAAGUGGUGGUCACCACAGUCCCCCUGGUCAGUGAGGUCCAGCUGAUGGCUGCGACAGGGGGGUGCUGAGCUCUCCUGCUACCGCUGCAUCAUCCCCUUCGCCGUGGUGGUCUUCAUCACAGGGAUAGUGGUCACCGCCGUGGCUUACAGCUUCAAUUCCCACGGCUCCAUUAUCUCCAUCUUGGGCCUGGUUCUUCUCUCCUCUGGACUUUUCCUGUUAGCUUCCAGCGCCUUGUGCUGGAAGGUGAGACAAAGGAGAAAGAAAGCCAAGCGACGGGAGAGUCAGACAGCUCUGGUGGCCAAUCAAAGAAGCUUGUUUGCUUAAGACUGAAUGAGACCAAAUGGGAAAUGCGGAAGGAAAACCUGCUGUGACUCAGUCAGCCCAUUCAUCCAGGACCGGCCGGGGAGGGGAUGAUCUGGCUUUGGAGUAGACUAGAAAAAUGGGGGUGGGUUGAAGGGGAAGGCUGGAUGUAGUCCUCAUUUGUGAGGAACGACCUGUCUUCUUUAAUGUCUGCUUUGUGAAUGCCUUCUUUAAUGACAAACUUAUUCCUAAGGGCUGUUUACUAAGACAGAAGAAUCAGCUUUCUCUUUAUGUUAUACACUUUGCCGGGGGCAUAGGACAUACACAGCAUUAGGGCCGUGUUUGGUUCACUUUGGGAAGUAGCCAAGGAGUGAUGAGAAAAUAAUGAGAUAGUCCUGGGACAAGAGAUGCCUGCCUCCAAAAGAAAUAACCUGCGCUCUUUAAGAAGCUGUAUUAUAAAAAUGUUCUGCUGAAGGUCUACAUUGCCUUGGACUUGACAUACUCAUAGGAAAUUCUAGGAUAAUAUGUUUCCAUAUGUUGGUUCGCUGGUGUUUCGUUUUAUUUCUCACUUUCCGUAACUCAUCACUGGUGGUACUUUACCUUGAAAAAUAAACUAAUAUUUUUUAUAUUGUAACAUUGGACAGUUUUAGGUGAUUCUAAUGAUGAGUCAGAAAUAAAAUAAAAAGUAUAGCUGAUAGAUGAUGUGGGGGUUAAGUUAAUAUUAAAAUAAUCAUGUAUAGCACUUUUGAUGAUUUUUAUAUAAAGGUUUAAUGUACAUUUUAUUCAAAGUAAUAAAUACUCCUUGCUGCUGAAAUUUUUUUUUUCUGCUGAAAAUUUUUAAAGAGUUGCUUCUGUUUUAGUUAUUUCUAUUGCAGUCCCAAAUUGUCCAUCUUCCCUGUUUUCUUUCUUUCUUUUUUUUUUUCAUACUGGGGAUAGAACUCAGGACCUGCGCUUGCAAGGGAAGCGCAGUGCCACUGAGCUAAAUCCUGGCUUCCCUGUUUUCAUUUGCAAAAUAUUGAUUGUGUUUUCUCAAAUGGGCGUGUGUUGCUUCUUGUAAAUUUUAUUGGAAGAUUUUUUAAAAUCUUCAUUACUUCGAAGAAUAGUAUUAUUAUCCUUACUAUAUGCUAAGGAUUUCUGUGCUAUUAUCAUUAUUAUUAGUAGUAGUAGCACCAAGGAUUGAACUUAGGACCUUGCACUUGUGAGGUAGGUGCAGUGCCACUGAACUAAAUCUCUGGGUCUCUAUGCCAUUAUAUUUAGGAAAUUAAUGCCUGGAAUCAGAAAUUUUAUAAUGUUCCAUUGCGUAUGAAUUGCAUUAGUGCUGAAUUAGUCAUUAAUUAUUUGCUUAACACAGGUUUCUGAGCACCAACUAUAUGCCAUGCAUUAUGUAAUCUUGCAGGCAGCUGGCUCCAUGGGUUCAAACUGUAAAUAAGGUUAUUGCUUGAAUUCUUCUGUGGACAGUGAACUGUCCCACAAUGAAGACUCUGUCCCACAACUCCAACCAGAAAUAUUCCUCAUUCAUAUAGUUAAACCACAUUAAACCAGAGCAAGGAAAUAGGCACAAAUACUUAAAGCUUGGUUAAAAAAAAAAAAAUCAAAGCCAAGCCUAGCACAUUCCUUGAAAGGCGUUCUACGAGGGAUUUGUAUUGAGGAAUUUAAGUAAACAUGGCAGGAGCCCUCUGGUAAGAGGACUCCCUGGUGCUCGCAUAGUUUUAGUAGCUGGAAAUGCCUCAAUGAUUUUAGAAGUAGUCAAGAUUCCGCCCAGCCAAUGCGCAUGAGUGGAACUGUGCCCAUUCAAUGUCCAUGGAUAAGGCUGAGUUUGACUCGGCUCUUUCUGCCCCAAGAGAGUCAUUCUCCCCACUGCUGUAUGAAGAAAUUUCUCAAGCAAAAUUCAAUGUUCUCCAGUCUGUUCCAAACAUGUGUAUCAAUUUUCACUCUCACUCUCACUCCCAAAGCUCCACCAAGUUAGCCAGACUAUUUGCCAUUCCUGCAAGGGCUCUGGUUUUCCUGCCUUCCUGUCUGUCCAGAGUUCUCUUUUCCCUCCGCUAUAAUGAUAAUGCCACCCUUUCCUCCAUCGCAAGCCACCCCAGUCCUGGUUUGUGUCACCACUCCCACUCCGAUGCCCUCUUCUGAAAGCCUCCCUUUAUCUGAGUAACUGCUCUCUCACCGGUUAUUAUCUCUUCAGUCUCUGAAGAUGCCACUCACUUCCUCUCAGGUUGGUGGUAUAAUAUUUCAUUCCACUUCCAAAGUCCCUUAGAAAUGUGGAAUGUCCUUUUAGUUAACUCUAAUGUUAUAUUUAACGUUAAGUCUCAUAAAGGAACGCCACAUGAACCUAACUGAGAUACUAAGUGAACUCAAGAAUGAAAAAUCAGAAAGUGUUAUUUGGUGCUAAGGACUUUGGGGUGGGGGGUUUGCUGAAGACUGAAUCCAUCUCAUACUUGUUACUAAGCAAGCACUGUACCACUGAGAUAAAUUUUCAACCCCUAAAAACCUUAUGUUUAACUGAGAACUUUCCCCCAGAUAGAUCAUCCCACUCCACCUGCCUCUAGUAUAAGCACUAGGUCUAGAUGAGUAUUUACUACCUUUGUACCUUCAGCUAGACCUGACCUCCUGCUCAUCCACUCUUGAAAAGCAAACUCAUGAAUUAUUUCCGGCCACCAGGGGGCCUCAUAUUGCAACCUGGGUCCUGGACUAAUGUGGAAAGAAUUAUAUUGUAUGGACCCAAAUGGGGUCACAUCUGGAGAUAGCAAUGUUUCUCCUAGCUGUGAGGAGUUGGAGGAGAUUCUCCCAUUGCCGGACCCCCUAUUCUCUUCCCUAAAUCACCUUACAGUGGCCAUCUCAGGGCUCUUCCAGCAUGGCAAGGACUUGCCCUAUCUGCGGAACCUCCUUCCAGUCACAUUCAAAGGUGUGCACCCCUGCCAAGCUAUAAGGCACAGGGAUGAUCCUACUAACCAUGAAGGACAACUCCCAGGAGGAAGACUAGCCUUGAAUUAUAAUCACAGUUCUCCUAUAACCUGUCCUCACUGAGCCACAUGUAGCUUCAUGAACGGUUCUAUUGUACACAGGUGAGUGUUAAAUGUGUGCAUAGAUGAUGUCAUGUGUAUAUAAAUAUAUUAAAAAGAUCAUCUGACCUCAUCCCCACCCAUUAGGAAUCAGCCAAAUCAAUGGCAGGGUUGCCCCCUCCCUGACCAUCCCAGAGUGUACAAGGACAAUACCUAAUUUAACCUGGCCUGAGGGUUUCUAGCUCAGGCUAGGAGGACUGAUGUCUGAAGACUCUGCUCUCCCCACUUUACUGUCUUUGUUAAUCUAGGGAACCUUGCCUAAAGAGGGUGCUCAAGAUCAUGUGGUCUUUUCACCUCCAUUCACUCAGGGAAGGGGGAAGGAAGACGGUGAAGAGGAGGAAGAGUUACAGAAGGAGGAAGAG
RNAcentral lists this long non-coding RNA (5231 nucleotides) under Heterocephalus glaber (naked mole-rat). Its description in RNAcentral is "lncRNA (ENSHGLG00100040760.1)". The record is from RNAcentral. Lineage: Eukaryota; Metazoa; Chordata; Mammalia; Rodentia; Bathyergidae.